UAAAGUAGUAAUAGUUAAGAUCUUGAAACUUAAAAAAUUUGGCGGUAUUUUAGUCUAUUCAGAGGAACUUGUUUUAUAAUCGAUAUUCCACGAUGAACCUUACUUAAUUUUGUUAUCAGUUUAUAUACCGUCGUUAUUAGAAUAUUUUAUAAGAAUUUUUAAUUUUCUGAAUUUUUAAUAAAAAAAUAUAUCAGAUCAAGGUGUAGCUUAUAUUUAAGUAAAAAUGAGUUACAAUAAAAUUAUUUAAAUGAAUAUAAAUUUGAAAUAUUUAUUGAAGGUGGAUUUGAUAGUAAAUUUAUAUAGAUUAAUAAU
This 312-nucleotide ribosomal RNA is filed under the name Exorista lepis. RNAcentral's name for it is "partial 12S rRNA". The record is from RNAcentral. Lineage: Eukaryota; Metazoa; Arthropoda; Insecta; Diptera; Tachinidae.